UACGUAGGGACCAAGCGUUGUUCGGAUUUACUGGGCGUAAAGGGCGCGUAGGCGGCGUGGUAAGUCACUUGUGAAAUCUCUGAGCUUAACUCAGAACGGUCAAGUGAUACUGCUGUGCUAGAGUGCGGAAGGGGCAAUCGGAAUUCUUGGUGUAGCGGUGAAAUGCGUAGAUAUCAAGAGGAACACCUGAGGUGAAGACGGGUUGCUGGGCCGACACUGACGCUGAUGCGCGAAAGCGUGGGGAGCGAACGGG
RNAcentral lists this ribosomal RNA (253 nucleotides) under uncultured bacterium. Its description in RNAcentral is "partial 16S ribosomal RNA". It matches the Rfam family "Bacterial small subunit ribosomal RNA", at positions 524 to 776 of the family's 1533-position model. The record is from RNAcentral.